This is a long non-coding RNA of Notolabrus celidotus (New Zealand spotty), 1049 nucleotides long. RefSeq lists it as uncharacterized. NCBI's taxonomy places the organism in Eukaryota, Metazoa, Chordata, Actinopteri, Labriformes, Labridae. The transcript is spliced from 3 exons. The record is from RefSeq and is a predicted model, not a curated record.
CAAACUUGAAGCUAAAUUUAAUGAACUUGUUACUAUGUGUCAUGUCAGGUUGAAGAAGCAAUCGGGCUUGAAGAUGCCUUGCAGUUAAUCAAUGCGUUUGGUAUUAGCCAUGGCAGCGUCAGAGAGCACACAGUGUGGGGCAUGCAGAGGGGGUGGAAGGGAGACCUCUGCCAACACCUCAAGCACACGGAUCAAAGACACACAGCUGGCACAAAGGCAGAGCUGCAGCAACUCAUUUCCCAUUGAUUUGUCUCAUUCAACAUGGACCUGAGUCCAUUUAAAAUCUUCUAGUACAACAUGAGGGUCAACACAUAUCUAAUCCCCCAAAUGACACAAGCUGUGGUGCAGCAGGGUGCAGCCUGACAGGAAGGACUUGGCCCGGCUUUGGUCUCUAUUUACUAUUUAUCACAGCAACAUUUCUCAAAGAUAAGUGAUAUCCUCCUCAGAUCAGGAUCCGGUGUCCCCCGCUCUGCCCACCCGGAGGGAAAGGGAUCCCCAGUGCAUCCCCAGGAGGUGCAAGCUUUAUUUUUAGCAGCCUAAUCCCUUUAUAACUGGGGCAGAAAACAUCACUCUUUCCAUUAAUUGUCCGAAGUAAUCAUUAUAUCAUUCACCAGAAAGGAAGUGCUUGGUUUUGCCAAUUUUUGGAAUCAUUAAUUUCUUUUUGGACUCUUCUGUUUGUGAGGAAGCUGAGAUUUAUGGCAGCAGGAAACAGGUUGCAUUGAUUGAGAUAACACUGACUUGAUUUAAACAUCUUCAAGAGAACCAGUCUUUCAAUGCCGUUUCAGUUCACAACCUUUUGAACUGCCAGCUUCCGUGUAUGACUUCUUAAUGAUCCCACAACAGGCCAAACUUUGUUGAGUAAUACAUGAUCCAUCGUAACAAACUGUUCUUGCUCAGUAUAAAGAGACAUGCUGGCGUGAGAACUGAGCUGUUGUAAUCUUUGGCUUAGCAUUUGUUUUCUUCAGAACCUUGUCUAUCAGCAUCCCAAUGUGUGCCUGGCUCAAUAUUUAUUUCACUACCCCAAUAAAAACAGAAGACAAUCACUGUAA